Molecule: ribosomal RNA, 235 nt
Filed under: uncultured bacterium
Lineage: Bacteria
Description: partial 16S ribosomal RNA
Rfam family: Bacterial small subunit ribosomal RNA
Source: RNAcentral
UGAGUAACCUGCCCUUAACUCUGGGAUAAGCCUGGGAAACUGGGUCUAAUACCGGAUAUGACUCCUCAUCGCAUGGUGGGGGGUGGAAAGCUUUUUGUGGUUUUGGAUGGACUCGCGGCCUAUCAGCUUGUUGGUGAGGUAAUGGCUUACCAAGGCGACGACGGGUAGCCGGCCUGAGAGGGUCGACCGGCCACACGUGGGACUGAGACACGGCCAGACCUCCGUACGGGAGCAG